GAUGAACGCUAGCGGCAGGCUUAAUACAUGCAAGUCGUGGGGCAGCAUGAGUGUAGCAAUACAUUUGAUGGCGACCGGCAAACGGGUGCGGAACACGUACACAACCUUCCUUCAAGUGGGGAAUAGCCCAGGGAAACUUGGAUUAAUACCCCGUAAUAUUAUGGAGUGCAUCACUUUAUAAUUAUAGCUCCGGCGCUUGAUGA
Molecule: ribosomal RNA, 203 nt
Filed under: uncultured bacterium
Lineage: Bacteria
Description: partial 16S ribosomal RNA
Rfam family: Bacterial small subunit ribosomal RNA
Source: RNAcentral